This 2679-nucleotide ribosomal RNA is filed under the name Salmonella enterica subsp. enterica serovar Typhimurium. RNAcentral's name for it is "bacterial LSU rRNA". It matches the Rfam family "Bacterial large subunit ribosomal RNA". The record is from RNAcentral. Lineage: Bacteria; Pseudomonadati; Pseudomonadota; Gammaproteobacteria; Enterobacterales; Enterobacteriaceae.
CCGAAUGGGGAAACCCAGUGUGAUUCGUCACACUAUCAUUAACUGAAUCCAUAGGUUAAUGAGGCGAACCGGGGGAACUGAAACAUCUAAGUACCCCGAGGAAAAGAAAUCAACCGAGAUUCCCCCAGUAGCGGCGAGCGAACGGGGAGGAGCCCAGAGCCUGAAUCAGCAUGUGUGUUAGUGGAAGCGUCUGGAAAGGCGCGCGAUACAGGGUGACAGCCCCGUACACAAAAGCGCAUGUGCUGUGAGCUCGAUGAGUAGGGCGGGACACGUGGUAUCCUGUCUGAAUAUGGGGGGACCAUCCUCCAAGGCUAAAUACUCCUGACUGACCGAUAGUGAACCAGUACCGUGAGGGAAAGGCGAAAAGAACCCCGGCGAGGGGAGUGAAAAAGAACCUGAAACCGUGUACGUACAAGCAGUGGGAGNNNNNNNNNNNNNNNNNNNNNNNNNNNNNNNNNNNNNNNNNNGGGCGUUAAGUUGCAGGGUAUAGACCCGAAACCCGGUGAUCUAGCCAUGGGCAGGUUGAAGGUUGGGUAACACUAACUGGAGGACCGAACCGACUAAUGUUGAAAAAUUAGCGGAUGACCUGUGGCUGGGGGUGAAAGGCCAAUCAAACCGGGAGAUAGCUGGUUCUCCCCGAAAGCUAUUUAGGUAGCGCCUCGUGAAUUCAUCUCCGGGGGUAGAGCACUGUUUCGGCUAGGGGGCCAUCCCGGCUUACCAACCCGAUGCAAACUGCGAAUACCGGAGAAUGUUAUCACGGGAGACACACGGCGGGUGCUAACGUCCGUCGUGAAGAGGGAAACAACCCAGACCGCCAGCUAAGGUCCCAAAGUCAUGGUUAAGUGGGAAACGAUGUGGGAAGGCCCAGACAGCCAGGAUGUUGGCUUAGAAGCAGCCAUCAUUUAAAGAAAGCGUAAUAGCUCACUGGUCGAGUCGGCCUGCGCGGAAGAUGUAACGGGGCUAAACCAUGCACCGAAGCUGCGGCAGCGANNUGCUGGAGGUAUCAGAAGUGCGAAUGCUGACAUAAGUAACGAUAAAGCGGGUGAAAAGCCCGCUCGCCGGAAGACCAAGGGUUCCUGUCCAACGUUAAUCGGGGCAGGGUGAGUCGACCCCUAAGGCGAGGCCGAAAGGCGUAGUCGAUGGGAAACGGGUUAAUAUUCCCGUACUUGGUGUUACUGCGAAGGGGGGACGGAGAAGGCUAUGUUGGCCGGGCGACGGUUGUCCCGGUUUAAGCGUGUAGGUGUGUGUUCCAGGUAAAUCCGGUUCACUUUAACACUGAGGCGUGACGACGAGGCACUACGGUGCUGAAGCAACAAAUGCCCUGCUUCCAGGAAAAGCCUCUAAGCAUCAGGUAACACGAAAUCGUACCCCAAACCGACACAGGUGGUCAGGUAGAGAAUACCAAGGCGCUUGAGAGAACUCGGGUGAAGGAACUAGGCAAAAUGGUGCCGUAACUUCGGGAGAAGGCACGCUGACACGUAGGUGAAGUGAUUUACUCAUGGAGCUGAAGUCAGUCGAAGAUACCAGCUGGCUGCAACUGUUUAUUAAAAACACAGCACUGUGCAAACACGAAAGUGGACGUAUACGGUGUGACGCCUGCCCGGUGCCGGAAGGUUAAUUGAUGGGGUCAGCGCAAGCGAAGCUCCUGAUCGAAGCCCCGGUAAACGGCGGCCGUAACUAUAACGGUCCUAAGGUAGCGAAAUUCCUUGUCGGGUAAGUUCCGACCUGCACGAAUGGCGUAAUGAUGGCCAGGCUGUCUCCACCCGAGACUCAGUGAAAUUGAACUCGCUGUGAAGAUGCAGUGUACCCGCGGCAAGACGGAAAGACCCCGUGAACCUUUACUAUAGCUUGACACUGAACAUUGAGCCUUGAUGUGUAGGAUAGGUGGGAGGCUUUGAAGUGUGGACGCCAGUCUGCAUGGAGCCGACCUUGAAAUACCACCCUUUAAUGUUUGAUGUUCUAACGUGGACCCGUAAUCCGGGUUGCGGACAGUGUCUGGUGGGUAGUUUGACUGGGGCGGUCUCCUCCUAAAGAGUAACGGAGGAGCACGAAGGUUGGCUAAUCCUGGUCGGACAUCAGGAGGUUAGUGCAAUGGCAUAAGCCAGCUUGACUGCGAGCGUGACGGCGCGAGCAGGUGCGAAAGCAGGUCAUAGUGAUCCGGUGGUUCUGAAUGGAAGGGCCAUCGCUCAACGGAUAAAAGGUACUCCGGGGAUAACAGGCUGAUACCGCCCAAGAGUUCAUAUCGACGGCGGUGUUUGGCACCUCGAUGUCGGCUCAUCACAUCCUGGGGCUGAAGUAGGUCCCAAGGGUAUGGCUGUUCGCCAUUUAAAGUGGUACGCGAGCUGGGUUUAGAACGUCGUGAGACAGUUCGGUCCCUAUCUGCCGUGGGCGCUGGAGAACUGAGGGGGGCUGCUCCUAGUACGAGAGGACCGGAGUGGACGCAUCACUGGUGUUCGGGUUGUCAUGCCAAUGGCACUGCCCGGUAGCUAAAUGCGGAAGAGAUAAGUGCUGAAAGCAUCUAAGCACGAAACUUGCCCCGAGAUGAGUUCUCCCUGAGACUUAGAGUCUCCUGAAGGAACGUUGAAGACGACGACGUUGAUAGGCCGGGUGUGUAAGCGCAGCGAUGCGUUGAGCUAACCGGUACUAAUGAACCGUGAGGCUUAACCUUACAACGCCGAA